This 468-nucleotide ribosomal RNA is filed under the name uncultured bacterium. RNAcentral's name for it is "partial 16S ribosomal RNA". It matches the Rfam family "Bacterial small subunit ribosomal RNA", at positions 28 to 507 of the family's 1533-position model. The record is from RNAcentral.
GACGAACGCUGGCGGCGUGCUUAACACAUGCAAGUCGAACGGAAAGGCCCUGCUUUUGUGGGGUGCUCGAGUGGCGAACGGGUGAGUAACACGUGAGUAACCUGACCUUGACUUUGGGAUAACUUCAGGAAACUGGGGCUAAUACCGGAUAGGAGCUCCUGCUGCAUGGUGGGGGUUGGAAAGUUUCGGCGGUUGGGGAUGGGCUCGCGGCUUAUCAGCUUGUUGGUGGGGUAGUGGCUUACCAGGGCUUUGACGGGUAGCCGGCCUGAGAGGGUGACCGGCCACAUUGGGACUGAGGUACGGCGCAGACUCCUACGGGAGGCAGCAGUGGGGAAUAUUGCACAGUGGGCGGAAGCCUGAUGCAGCAGCGCCGCGUGCGGGAUGACGGCCUUCUGGUUGUAAACCGCUUUCGCCUGUGACGAAGAGUGAGUGACGGUAAUGGGUAAAGAAGCACCGGCUAACUACGUG